Molecule: long non-coding RNA, 17518 nt
Filed under: Gossypium raimondii (Peruvian cotton)
Lineage: Eukaryota; Viridiplantae; Streptophyta; Magnoliopsida; Malvales; Malvaceae
Description: long non-coding RNA (GRAI_LNC005884)
Source: RNAcentral
GCUUCAAUCAAGACUUCAUAAAAGACCAGGCCCCCUUGUUAGUUUACAAAAAAAGGGAGCUUCGGAAAUGGAAGUGGAGUCUGUCUUGCUUGCUUUGCUGUUGAUAAAUGCCCUUACGUUUUCGCAGCUUAAUCUGGCAGUUGAGGCGGCUGAGUCUGUUCCUCUAUCACCAUCGGAUGAUUUCUCGAAAGAGUUGAAAGCUUUAUCUAGGAGGAGUCGGCGAAUAACUCCACCAUCACCCAGGAUUAAUGCUCCUGUUCACUUCAAAAGCCCUCCUCCAUCACCUCGACCUCCUCCGCCGCCACGGUCACCACCACCUCCAUGUCUGUGGCGUCCACCUACUGCGUUUGGAUAAGACGAUUGUUUCCCAGGUUACACACAGUUGAUGAAGCUCUCAUGUCAUCAGCUUUUGUUUGUAAAUUGUAAAACUUUAAAGUGCUUGUAUGUUAGCAGCAAAUACCAACUUUGUUUAGCUCUGAUAAUAAUUAAAUUUGUAAUGAUAAAAAUAAUAAUAUGUUAAAUAUAAAAAUGAAUAAAUGUAUGCAUCACUUUCACUUAAACACUCUUUAAGAAAUUGUUUAAUAAGUAUCCCUUGUCUUCCCUUCCCAUCUCUUUGAAGUCUCCCGACCAUCUCUAUAUGUAGCAUAAAUGAUGAGCAGCCCUCCAUCAACGAGGACCCGGGUCCUCAAAGGCCAACUCAAAAAAGCAUCUCAAUCUAAGAGAGGAGGGUAGCCUUUUCAGUGCAGUGCUUUCAGGGUUGAAUGAGCAUCGAGGUCUUUCGAGAUUGGGGUUUUCUCGUAGGAAAAAAAUGAAAAAAUCAUCUUGAUAAUAGUCCUUUUAUAGAUCGGGUGGACAAAGGAAUAGCAAGCCUUUGGAAGGAAGAAAAAGCUAACAUAUGGACGAAGAUCGGGUGAAUGAGAUAAUUCCCAGAUUCAUUUCAAAAACCUCUAGAUUAGCCUUGGCCGAACACAGGUAAACCGUCCAGACCCCACUCAAACCAUAGUCCCCUCAAAGGCCAACUCAAAAACAACAAUCUCUACGUCUAUGGAGCCUGGACUGCAGAAACUGAGAAACCUCCAAUUCCAAGCUCCCUGGUUCGGUGCAACUUGGACUUUCUGGGAAGGGCAUUAAAUACCCAACCAACAUAUUUAUUUUGGCCACUUCACUGUAGAGGGAUCAUGGGUCGAGUUUGUGCCGGGUUCAGAUAAAAUUUUAGGCCCGUUUUAUUAGCCCGGAUCUGACUCGGUCUGGCCCAAAAUAUAGAUAUAAAAAUUUAUCUAAACUUGGCCCGAAAAAAUUAUUAAGCCCGAGCCUGACUCGGCCUAUAUUAAUUUUUUUAACUUAUUUCAUUAAAUAAAAAAUUUAAAACAAAUAUUAAAACAAAAAACAAAUAAAAAAUGAGACUAAAACAAUUCUUAAAACAAUACACAAAUUGAAAAUAUAAUAAAAAGUGAUUAUAUUAAAAUUGAAACAAAUUAGAACUAAAAUAAUAACUAAAUUAAUAAUAAAACAAAAGUAUAUUUGAUUAAAUAUAAAAUAUAUAUAUUUAAUAUAUAAUUCGUGCCAAGCCGGGCCGGGUCUAGCCCAAAAAAAUUUUACCUAAGGCUUAGCCCGUUUUCUAAACGGACCUCAUUUUUUUGGCCUAAACUUAUAUUUUGAACAUAUAUUUUUAUCUAAAUCUUUUUAUUUUUCAAGUAGACUAUCGGACCAGGCUAAAUAACUUAACCCAUGAUCACUUCUACUCCACUUCAGUAAUCAUUUGACUGCAGCCAAACCAAUAUCAAGUUGAUGGGACUGGGGGUCAAAAUUCAUGCACCAAGCAAUCUACGCUGCUAGACCCAAGACCAUUCUUCAGCUUGAUGAGCCCAAUGACCAGAGCCAAUGCUCUACGACUAGCUCCAUGAAACCCAAAAUGCAGCAAGAGACUCAUUGUAACGCCCCACUUUUGUUGUGUUUAGAUUGUUAAAGUAUGUUAAAUAAUUUAAUCUGGUAUGUGGUUAAGCGUCUUAAAUGUUUGUUUUAGGUCUUGACUUUAAUUCUUUUAUUUUGGAUUUUUUAUUAAUUUUGAUGUUAUGUUAAGCUUGACUUUUUAGGCUUAUCUUUUUAUUUUAUUAGAUUGUUGAUAAGGAUGAGCUUAUUAGUCUAGUAAACCGUCCAUUAUUCUCUCACCCCCUUUCACCUUUUUUCUCCCUGUUAUUGUUUUCUAUUUGGUUCUUUCCUCUCUUUUUUCUUUUUUUCCUCUUUGAGCUUUUUUCUUUUCUUUUGCUUUGAAUCUCCGAUUUCGAUUAUAAUCCAAAGAUAACGUAAGUUUUGUUAAAUUAUUUUGUUGUUAUUUUGGUGUUAAUUCGUUGUGCAAGGGUGAAAUUAUUAGUUUAAUCCUUUUAAUAUAUUAUGAUAAAUAUUCUAUUGAUUCUCUUAUCAGAUUAAAGGGAUGUGAAUCGAAACCCUAAAAUUUUUGGACUAUUUAUUUUAUAAUUUUAAAUGAUAAAAAUAUUAUAUUUUUAUAAAGAUAUAUACUAUUCAAAUGAUGAAAUUAUAUUUUAUUUUAUAAAAUUAAAUUUUAAUUUUAACAUUCUUAAAAAUAUUUUCUACCUUCCCCUCUUCCCUUACCGAUCAUAAACAUGGACAUCAAUCCUAAACAUGGACAUCAUAUGGCGAACAAAAUUUAUAUAAAUUUAAAAUUUUUUAAACACGGUUAUGUUUUUCUCCAGGUUUGUCCUAACCUCACUUGGCACCUUUUCCUCUUACAUAUCUUGAAAUAAGGGAUGUAAAAAAUAUGAAAAAAUUGCAACAAAUAGUUUUGAUAGUAUGCUCCGAGUGUAGCAUUUGGUGUCUGCUGGUUAUUAGUGUUUUCUUGUGUGUGUCGACUGUUGGUGUUUCUUAUGGAGGAGGGGUUAGCAGAUCUGCGUUUAACGGAGGAAGAAGACAAUAAGGAGUUGGAAGCUUGGGAGAUUGAACAGAAUAAGGAGAUAGAAGACUCUUUUUCGGAGUUGUGCUUGGUAGGGUGUUUUCUAACAGCAACUCCGAUAAAUUUUUAGGCUAUGCGGACUGUGAUGGCAAAUCUGUGGCAUUCUUUGGGGGGAGUUUCCAUUGCAGAUGUGGGUGAGAAAAGGUUUGUCUUUCAAUUUUAUUGUGAAAUGGAUUUUGAUAGGGUGGUGAAGGGCGCUCCUUGUACUUUUAACAACCAUUUACUUGUUUUUCAUCACUUAAAACAAGGCAAAGAUCCCUUGGAAGUGGAUUUAUUAUAUACCGAGUUCUGGGUUCAAAUUUAUAAUCUGCCACCUAGUUUCUUUACGGAAGCUAUUGCUAAAUAGUUUGGAGAUUUUAUUAGAGCCUUUGUGGAGUACGAUGUCAAAGCGAUUAUGGAGGGAUUAAGAAAUUAUAUGCGGAUUAGAGUUAAAGUUGAUAUCCGGCAAAGUCUGAAGAGAAGAAAGAAACUUAUUAUGGCAAAAAAAGAGUUCUUUACUAAUUUCAAAUAUGAAAGGUUGUCAACAUUUUGUUUUCUGUGUGGCAAGCUCGGACAUAGUGAGAAUUACUGUCCUAUACGAAUGGUGACAGGGAGAAAGGAGCUUCCUCUUGAAUGGGAUAUCUCGCUCAAAGCUCCUCCACGUAGGGCGGCGACGGUAGGCAGUAUUUGGUUAAGGGAACCAACUGAAAUUUGGGGAGUGUAUCAGGGAAUUUCUAAAAAUGAUGAAGGCAAACAAGGAAAGAAUCUGGGGGAAUUAAAUCUAAUGAGGAAUAAUGGAACGAAUUUGGGGUUGAAUUUAUAUGAAAAAUCAAAACAGAUUGUGAAUGAGGAGUUGGUGUUGAUGGAAGUUGGGUCUACUAAAGAGGAUCGGCCCAUUAUUGGAGGAGAGGGGAAAAAGAGGCCUAGACCCAAUAAUAUUCAAAAUGCCUCUACCACCGAUGAUAUGAUGUGGAAAAAUGGGUUAAUGGAGGAUGUUAAUCAAAUCAACCAUACGGCUGAACCUGCAGGGCAGGUCAACCGAGCAUUAUGAAAAUAUUAAGUUGGAACGUCCGUGGGCUGGAGAACCCACGGUCUGUUCAGAAAAUUCAGCAUGUGCUGAAAAAGUACUGUCCCCAAGUUUAUUUUUUUAUGGAGACAAAAGUAGAGAAAUCGAGAAUGGAAAGGAUAAGAAAGAAAUUUGGUUUUGCGAAUGGGGUGGAUAUUUCAGCUCAAGGAUCACGAGGGGGUCUUUCUUUGAGUUGGUGUAGUUCGAUGGAUGUUACCAUCUCAAGUUAUUCUGGGAAUCACAUUGAUGCAGUUAUUGUUAAUAGUGAUGGGGCGACAAAGUGGAGACUAACAGGGUUUUACGGUAUUCCAGAUUAUCAGUGGAGAGAUAUUUCUUGGGACUUGCUAAAGCGGCUGAGCACGAACAAUGAAUUGCCUUUGGUUGUUGUAGGGAUUUUAAUGAGAUUUUAUUUAGUUCUGAGAAACAAGGAGGUCGAUUGAGGGAAGCAAGGCAAAUGGAGGCUUUUCGAUCAGCUUUGGAAGAUUGUGAGCUGGUGGAUAUAGGGUAUUGCGGCCGAUGGUACACGUGGGAAAAGGGGAAUUUUGAGGCAAAUAAUAUAAUAGAGCGGCUUGAUAGGGGAGUGGCUACUUUGGGUUGGACUGAGAUGUUUCCGUUCUCCCGGCUCCUUCACAUUAAUAAUUCAACUUCUGAUCAUUGUCCUCUAUUGUUGGAUACGGAAUUUUCAACAAGUAAUGGUAAUUCUUCAAAUUCAGGGUGUUUAUUUCGCUUUGAAACUGCUUGGUUGUUAGAAGAUUCUUGUCAUGAGUAGGUUAGAUCUUUGUGGGACUCCAAUAAAAAUGUGUUAGUGCCUGAAAGAUUAACACUGAUGGGUGAGGGGCUCCGAAGAUGGGCUAGCCAUUUAAAGAAUGAGAGGGGUGCGAAUAUGAAGAAGCUGUCAGACUAAUUAAAUAAACUGUCUGAGGAAGAUCCUUCAGAUGACAUUCUCGAGGCUAUGAUUAAGACUAAAUUAGAGCUGAAUCUCGAGAUUGAUAAGGAAGAGCUCUAUUGGGAGCAAAGGGCUAGAUCGAAUUGGUUAAGGUAUGAGGAUCGGAACACUAGUUUUUUCCAUAAUCUUGCCUCAAGUAGACGUCGUAAAAAUAAGAUCGCUGGGCUGAAGGACCAAAAUGGGUCCAUCAAAGAUACGGACGAAGAUCUUAUGCGAAUUGCAACCAGUUAUUUUAAAGGACGGUUUGCGAGUGAGGGAAGUAGAGGAGCUCAAAAAUUUUUUGAAGGGGUCCAAAAAAUGAUAACAAUUGAGAUGAAUAGGAUGUUGCUGGAUACUUUCCGGGAGGAUGAAGUUAGGAGGGUGGUCAAGGAGAUGGGGGGAAAUAAAGCUCCCAGUUUUGAUGGCUUCCAUGCAGUGUUUUUUCAAAUAUUUUGGGCGAUUGUAGGCAAGGAUGUUACAAGCUUUUGCCUUAGAGUACUUAAUAGAGAACAACAGCUGAAUGAGGUUAAUUUUACAACGAUUGUUUUAAUCCCUAAAGUCUCAACGCCAGAUUGUAUGACAGAUUUUCGGCCCAUAAACUUAUGUACGGUGCUUUAUAAAAUUAUAGCGAAAGUCAUUGCUAACAGAUUUAAGAGAGUGUUAGAUGGUUGUAUUGAUGAAGCUCAAUGAGCGUUUGUCCCUGGUCGGCUUAUUACGGAUAAUGUCCUUACGGCUUAUGAAAUUAUACACACUUUUAAGAAUAGAAGAAAAUGGAAGAAGGGUUUUUUUGCUUUAAAGCUUGAUAUGAGUAAAGCAUACGACAGAGUUGAAUGGGGAUUUGUCACAGGUAUGAUGAGGAGUAUGGGGUUUGAUGAUAAAUGGGUGGAGUUGAUAAAUCAUUGUAUUUCUUCGGUCUCUUAUGCUGUUACGAUUAACAGAAGCUUGAGUGAGCCUUUUCAACCGAAACGGGGACUCAGACAAGGGGAUCCGUUGAGUCCCUAUUUGUUUCUUAUUUGUACUGAAGGUUUUUCAACAUUACUUAAACUAGCCAAGAGGGAUGGUCUUAUUCAAGGCGCACGUGUUUGUCGGGGGGCCCGAGGGUAACUCUUUUGUUUUUCGCGGAUGAUUACAUUAUCUUUGGAGAAGCAAAUGAGGAUGGCUGCAGGAUAAUGAAGGGAUUUCUUGAUGACUAUGAAAAAGCUUCAGGUCAAAAGAUUAAUUUGGACAAGUCUCAAAUUUUCUUUAGUUCUAACUAUUCUGAAGAAACUAGAGAGCUGUUGACAAAUUAUUUGGGUGUUAGGUCCGUAACGAGCAUGGAAAAGUAUUUGGGUCUGCCUACAAUGGUGGGGAGGAAGAAGAAUGAGGCUUUCCAAAGAUUGUGUGAUAGGCUGAGAACAAGAAUUGAUGGGUGGGGGAGUCGAAUAUUGUCUCAAGGGGGCAAAGAUGUCUUCAUCAAAGCAGUAUUACAGGCCAUACCGAUUUUUUUAAUGUCUUGUUUUUUGCUUCCAAAGUCAUUAUGUGCUGAAAUGGAAAAGAUUAUGAAUCGAUUUUGGUGGGGAAAAGGAGGUAAUAGGCAUGGUUUGCACUGGUCCUGCUGGACUGAUUUAUGUCAGGCUAAAGAGAAUGGGGGUCUAGAGAGAUUACCUGCUGUUAGAGAGGUGGAUAUCGAUCGAUGGAAACCCCCACAAGCUUCAUGGGUAAAAUUGAAUUUUGAUGCAGCCUACAAAGUUCAAUCGAAUAAGUCCCGUUCGGGGUUCAUCAUUAGAAACGAGAAAGGGGAAGUUAUGGGUAGUGGGAUUACUCUUCACUCCAACGUUUUGGAUGCGGGUUUGGCUGAAGCUUUAGCUUGCUAUCAAGGUCUCCUCUUUGCCAAAGAAAUGGGGUUAACAAAAGUAGAGGUUGAAGGAGAUGCACGGGUAGUAAUUGAGAAAAUCAAUCAGGAAGAAAAUGGUAGAGCACAUUUGGACUCGAUUAUAGAAGACAUCAAAGCAUUUGAAAGGUUUUUUCAUCAGAUUAGCGUUAAACAUGUUAGAAGAGAGGUUAAUCGAGUGGCUCAUCUCAUUGCUAGGGAGGGUUACAGUAGAUUAGAAAAUACCUUUUGGAUGGAAGACAUUCCGGCGGUGGCGAAAGAGCUGGUGGCUACUGAAGAGACGAGCAACGUUUUGUAAUCGACAGAAGGUUUUGUUCAAGGGUGUUUGGACUGGGCUGAUAAAUUCAUUGAAAGCCAUGCUUUAGUCACUAGAGAGAUUUACAUGGUGGUCUGGAGCUUUGUUUUACCGGGUUUCCACUUUACUUUUUCUUUUCUAUUGUUGUUUUUUUCAGAUGUUUUUGGUUUCUUUAACUAUUUUGAUUGGGUUUUGUUAGGUUUUAAUGGAAAUCACGGUUUUUAAUCAAAAAAAAUAUGAAAAAAUUGUUCUCUUCAAACUGCAUGCCGUUAAAUUUGGAAGUGCUUGAGGUUUCAUUACGUGUCCAACUGGAGGAAAUAAUAGCAUUAGAUUUUGAAUGGGACAGAAGAGGAAUGCCUACCAUGGAAUUUUGCCUUCUAAAAUUAAACAUACUUGUACUGGAAUGCCUACCUGAAUUGAAAAGUAUUUGCAAUGUUGAUGCAGUGGUGGUUUGUGAAUCCCUUAGAUGGAUUGAUAUAAUAGAUUGUCGGAAAUUAAAAAGGGUGCCUUUUAGUCUUCCCCAAAUCCGAUCAUCUUCACCAACUCUCAUUUUCUAUUUAUGUAGCGAUAGAGGAGUGGUGGAAAUCUGUGAGUAACAUUGGCAUUACUUAUAUUUUCUUGUUUCUAGGCAACUUUGAUGAAUGCAAUUGCAAGCUGUCUUCUUUAUUUGAAUCAAACCUCAUUUCUUUUUUGGUUGUAAUAAGCUUUGGUUAUUGUAUUUUGAUGCUUGUUUAUUGUGUCUUCCUUUUCCAUUCAAUACUUUUCCUUCGUAAUAUUCUAUAUCAACAAGACGAUAUACAUAUUAGAAAAAUUGAGAUAUUUCAAAGGAAUCAAAUAUCAUAUUCUUAAAGAAAGAUUUUGAGAUAUUUGUUUAUAAAUCUUUAUACUUCAUGAGUUAGAGGGAAUCAAGUUGAGAAGGUAGAUUUGUUCAUUAGAUUCAAAAAGUUAUUGUAAUAGAUUUUUGAACCUUUUAGUUUUUAAAAAUAUUUUUUAUUAGAUUUUUUAGAGUCCAAGAAAAAUAAACUUUUUAACUAAUAAAACUUAUAUUUAUCCAAGUUAUAAAUAACUUAAUCGAUUGAAAUUAUUUUUAGUUAAAUCCAAAUUCAUUGAACUAUUUUCAAACUAUUUCACUUACCUUUGCUAUUUUUAGCCAAUAAAAUUCUUAUAUAUAUGGUUGGAAGCCAAUGCAACUUUUGGAUAAAAGCCAAAUUUAUCCUUUAAAAGAUUUUUUUUUUGGAAGAUUCUAGAAUAUAAAAUAAAGAAAUAGGAUAUUAUCUAUAAGACUAGAUAUUAUAUAUGAAUAUUCUAGUUAUUAAAUAUUUGUAAAAUUAAUAGUAAGGAUAUUGACAUGUAUCAACAAUCCAACGGCCACUAAACUCUAUAAAUAGGGGUAAAGGCUUUCAUUCUUGUAAUGAUGUAAGAGAGAAGUGUGUAUCAUAUUAUAAUUGUAUUGUGUAUUAAUAAGAGUGUUUUCUUCUUUUGUAAUUGUAAGUCUCGGUUAAACCUUAAGUUUCUAAGCACUUAGUGCACUUGGAUUAGCUUUUAUAUACAGUGCACUAAUAAGUUAGAAAAUAAAAGAUUAACCGACUUCAGAAAUUUAGUGUAGCAUUAGUUGUAGGUCCGGCGAAAUAUCAUUAAAGACAGUAUCCAACACGUCUCAAGUUAUUCAACUUUUAUUUUUUAUUCUUUAAAUUGAAUAUUUACAAGAAUACAUACCAACACUUUUAAUUCUUUGAUUUCUAUUCAUAUAUAUUUAUAUCAUCCAUAUUUAUUCAUACAUUCAAAGUUGGGAAAGCAGUUGUGAUUUUGUGAGCUUGGAGUCUUAAUUUAAUCCCAACAAAACCUUAACAAAUCAUCAGCAAAUGAGAUUCAGCUACAAUCGAUUGGAUGAUCAAAGAAUAAAAAUUGUUUCUAUAGUUAUACAUCGUAUCGUGAAGAUUCGAGAAUCCUAAAGGAAUAAUUGAUAAGGGAUUAGAUUGGAAAGGGAUUAAUAGAGGAUAUGGGUAACAUGGAAGCAAACUUUGACAACUGUCAGACUAUACUAAGAACAUUAGUUGAUAAUUGAUUGUUAGAAAAUGUAGGAAAUGGAAGAGUGAAAAUGCAUGAUUUUGUAAUAGAUAUGGCUAAACUAAUCACCAAUGAGUUAUAUGAAUCAUGAAUUAACAUUGCAACUUUAACCUAUGUAUAAUUUAGCUCCAACAUUUAUAUUUUUUUAUUAACUAAAAUGAUACAAUAAAUCAAAAACAAUCAAAACUUAAAUUAAUUAAAAUUAACUUUGUAUUUUUUAUUCUUUAAAGACAGUAUCCAACACGUCUCUAGUUAUUCAACUUGUAUUUUUUAUUCUUUAAAUUGAAUAUUUACAAGAAUACAUACCAACACUUUUAAUUCUUUGAUUUAUAUUCAUAUAUAUUUAUAUCAUCCAUAUUUAUUCAUACAUUCAAAGUUGGGAGAGCUGUUGUGAUUUCAUGAGCUUGGAGUAUUAAUUUAAUCCCAACAAAACCUUAACAAAUCAUCAGCAAAUGAGAUUCAGUUACAACUGAUUGGAUGAUCAAAGAAUAAAAAUUGUUUCUAUAGUUACGCACUGUAUCGUGAAGAUUCGAGAAUUCUAAAGGAAUAAUUGAUAAGGGAUUAGAUUGGAAAGGGAUUAAUAGAGGAUGUGGGUAACAUGGAAGCAAACUUUGCCAAGUGUCAGACUAUCCUAAGAACAUUAGUUGAUAGUUGAUUGUUAGAAAAUGUAGGAAAUGGAAGAGUGAAAAUGCAUGAUUUUGUAAUAGAUAUGGCUAAACUAAUCACCAAUGAGGUUUAUGAAUCAUGAAUUAAUAUUGCAACUUUAACCUAUGUAUAAUCAAGCUCCAACAUUUAUAAUUUUUUAUUAACUAAAAUGAUACAAUAAAUCAAAAACAAUCAAAACUUAAAAUAAUUCGAAUUUAAUAAAAAUCAAAAUUAAAAUUAACUUUGUUGAUAUGGUAAUGCAACUAGAAGACAUGGGGAAGGACAUGGUUGUGAUUAUGGAGGUUGGUUCAUCCAGUUGGGAUAGAGAGCCAAAUACUACAAAGAGUGAGAAUGAAGAGAUAUGCAAACAAAGUGUUGAGGGGAACUUUUUUCAUCGUUCUUAGAAGUAUUUAUUGACGGGGUCCUGCAACAGCCCGAUUUUGGGUCUAGUCGGAACAGUAAUUUCAGGACCACAAAUUCGACGAGAAAAAAUCUAAUCGCCUAAAUUUUCAGGGGUGUCGGAACGGUGAUUCGAGAUCACUGAAUCCGACAAGUAAGUAAAAAAUAUUAUUAAUUUAGUGAGUAUAAGUUAAAUGUGAAGUUAAGAAAAUUUUUGAAAUAGUGAAUAGUGCACUAGAAAUAAAUAUUAAAAUAAUUAGAAUAAAAAACGAGGUAUCGAGACCUCAGAGAUUUUAAACCGAGCCAUAAAUGUUUAUAAAAAUAUUUAUGGAGUGUUAAAAAGUUAGUAUUAAAGUUUCGUUAAGAAAUUUUAAAGUUUCGAUAAUUAAUUGAACAAAAAGGACUAAAUUGUAACAAAUCCAAAAUUAUGGUAAAUGAUUAAAUAGCUUAAAUGAUAAAAGGAAGAGGGCUUAAAAGGAAAAUAGACUCAAUGUCUAUUUGGGCUGGACGGCAAAGGCAUGAAAUCAUCAAGAAUGUACGAAGAAUUAAGGGCAAAAUUGGAAUAUUGCAAAAUUACUUAAUAAAGCUAGGAUCAAAGUGGAAUUAUCGAGAUUUCUCUUUAUUUUUCUGCAUUCUCAUCAGCUAAAACAGCAUAGAAGGGUUUUCUUAAGCUGGUUUUUCAUAUUUUUACUGCAAGUAAGUUCAAUUCUUGAUUAUUUCUUGAAAUUGUUGUGUUUUUGUGACUUUUACAACUAGGCCCACUUGUUGAAUUCAUUAGAUUUUGAUUUUAUGAAAGAAGUUGAAAGUUGCUAUGAAUAUGUGCUGGAAGUAUAUGAUGAUUUAGAAUGGAAUUAGAGCUAUCCUCAGAACACUAGUAGAUAAUUGUUUGUUAGAAAAUGUAGGAAAUGAAAGAGUGAAAAUGCAUGAUCUUGUUAGAGAUUUGGCUAAACUUAUCACUCAUAAGUUGUAUGAAUCAUGAAUUAACAUUGCAACUUUAACACAUGUAUUGUUAAGCUCCAACAUUUAUAUUUUAGAUCAAUUAAAAUCAUACAAUAAAAAACAACCAAUCAAAAUUUAAAAUAAUUCAAAUUUAAUAAAAAUAAAACCUAAAAUUAACUUUAUUGAUAUAGAAAUACAAUAAAGAGGAGAUAUGGGAAAGGACAUGGUGGUGAUUUUGGAGGUUGAUUUACCCACUUGAGAGCGGAGAGCUAAGGACUGCAAAGAGUGAGAUUGAAGAGUGCAUAUAGGCAAAAUGUUGAGGGUAAGUUGAUAGAGUAUAUGUUUGUAUGUUUGGAGAGUCAAUCAUUUCUUCAUCGUUCUUGGGGGUAUUUAUUGGAGAGGGUCUUGUGAAGGUUGUUAACAUGCUAAAUUUGCCAUCUAACCAUCAUUACGGAACGUGUGGGGAGGAUGUCUAUGAUGGGAUGAGAAUGCCUGUGAUGAGACAGAUCUUGUUAUUCAUUAUAAUACAAUAGUGCAGAGUAGUUGAGCUCACACGGGAGUUGGUAACCAACAAUAUCACGUUUUUAACAAAAGGCCAAGGGUUCAAAGUAAUGAGUAGUUCUUGUUUGUCUAGAUAGUUAGGACGAGAGAUGAAACUUGGGGCAGCCUUCCAAUUGGUGGUUGGCAAAUUUGUUGCCUAGGUGACCUUCUAACUUGUCACGUGUCCUUAUUCAAGUAGGAGUAUAAUAAACUCAAUUUUUUAAAGAUGUAAAUUAGUUCAAUCUAAGUUAAACAAGUUAAUUAUAAAAAUUAAUUCACAAAACAUUUAUGUUUUAGGAUUAUUUCCCAAGAUAUUUAUGUUUCUUUUUCUUUUUGAAAGGUACUCAGAUGGCCUAUCAAUAAGAACUUUUUGAACUUUAAAUCCUAAUCUAUUUUUUUUAGACACUAAACUUUAAAUUAAAAUAUUUAAUUAACUUUUAAAGAGCCCACUUUUAAAACAAAAAAGCCUAUGAAAUAUUGAAACCUACGCAACAACCCUUUGAAAUAUAAUAAAAAGCCAUGACAUCACAUGCAUACAAAACUUAUAUAAAUUUAAAAUUUUUAAACACAGUUACGAAGUCAUAAAAAUACAAACAGUCUUUUAAUUAAAUAUGGUAGGUGCAUUAAUUAAAUCUCAAUGCCCACCGAAGUUGACUUAAAGGAGUUGAUAUAUAGGAUUGAUAAAUCAGUUUUUAUGGGCUAUUUUACCAAUCUAGCCUAAAAAAAUUUGAUAUUUACAAAAAUGACAUUGAUUCAAAAACAUUUACUAAAAUAACCUGAAAUGUACAGUAAAAUUAAGUUAUGAGAAAUAGAUAGCCGGCACCACUUUUUUCUAUUAAAAAAAUAAUUUUUGAGGUUUUAGACACUAGAUAUGUAACACCCCCUAACCCUAAACCGUCGCCGGAACAGGGUUAUGAGAUAUUACCGGACAUAUCAAAUAAUUUACAAAUAAUUCUUAAAUAAAUAACCAACAUAUUAUAAUAAUUCAAAAAUUCAUAUAAAUUUUACUAAUUGAUUUCAUUCAUUUUUUUUAUAAAAAUUUCGGCAUCAUUUCUGCUUAUUUUUACAUAAAACCCCCUGCAAAAUUUCAAAACAUAACUAACCCAAUUCCAAUAUUUCAAUCAAGGCAUUUAUAUACUUAAACCUUACUUGACAUAUUGACAUAACAACUUAAUUAAUAAAAAUCCUAUUAUCAUUUCUAAUUAACUCAUAAAACUAAUCAAGUCAUUUCAAUUCGAGACCAAUGCCAUAAAAGACUUCUACUAUUUUACUAAUAUAAUCAUCAAAACACAUAAUAUCUUACUUUACAACAAAACUAUAUAACAUACCAAAAUAACUAUUAUAAUUCUUAUGUACAUGCCACUUUCAUUUAAUGAAGAAAACAUCAUCGAAAUCUCUAUGCAGGAGUUGAGAUUGACCUGGAUGCUAAAUCGAGACUCAGACCCCUUUUUCAACCCGCGCACAGAAACAACCAUACGCUGAGUAUUUUACACUCAGUGGUAUUACCAUAAUUCAAAUUAUAAUAGCAAUAAAGAAUUAUAAUUACGAAGCAUGUAACUAUCCGAUUUCUUAAAUAUCAAUUAAUUCAUAAACUUUCAUUAUUUAACAAUAGCAAUACAAUUUUUUUUAGCUAUUCUUCAUUCUCAAUCACAUAUCACAUGUAGCAAUUUCAAUCACUACAUAAACAUUAAAUUCAUGCAUUUUAUUUUCAAUAUCAAUUUCAAUCUGAAAUUUUAAAUUUUCUCAUAUUCAAUACCACAAUCGAUCAAAUUCAUUUAAUUUUCUCAUUUCAAUUAUUCACCCUAUUAACAAUCUGGACUUUGACGGAUACAUGGAUUCCAACCCAAACACACUAGUACAGCACAUUGUGCCUAAAACGGUACAUAGUACCUGAUCAGUAUACGACACAUAAGUGCCUGAAACGACACACGAGGUGCCUGAUACGACACAUAAAGUGCCUGAUCGGCAAAGCCGAUAAAUCCCGUACUCUUCCAAAUCCUAUGGCAUGCCAACUAUAUCCGACUUAGCCCGACUAGUUAAUAGGGUAUUCAAAUUCUCAAUUCUCUUUGAUUUUCAAUUCAAGAUCACUUUUCCACUUUCUAAUCAAUUAACAAUUUAAUAUCAAUACAUAUUUCAAAUAAUCACAUAUAAUCAUAUUUCAAUUCAAUUCAAACCACUUUUCAAUCAUUACACAAUUCACAUAUUCACACAUAUUCAUAAAUUAAUUCACUUUAUUUAAUUCAUUUUUUAAAUCCAUUUUUUAAUCAAAUUCAAAUCACUAAAUACUUUUUAAUCAAUAUACAUUUCAAAUACUCACAUAUUUCCAUCAUUCAAUUUAAUUUGAUUCAAUUCAAGUCACUAUUAUCAUUCCAAUUGCUUACCUAAUUUUACUUACCAUGCAUUUUAAUUAAAAUAUAACAAUUAAUAAUAAAUAGAUUUGAAUUAUAGUAAUACAAACCCGAAUUUGCUCGAUUAUUCCUCAACGACCUUCUUCUUCCCUUUUUGUGGCGAUACCUCGAAUUAUUUAUUAGCUACGAAAAUUAAAUAAUUAAAUAAUUAAUUACAGCACAAAUUUUACAAUAAAAAUAAAAUUUCUAUCAAAUUUUAUACUUUAAUUCCAAUUUAAUCCUAACUAGAUUUAUCUACUUUUCUAAUCUAAUUCAUACUCUAUUUCUAUUCAAAUUUCUUAUAAACUCAAAUUUAUCUACUAAUUUUCAGCAUUUUUCACUAAUUUUGAAUUUUCCUCAAUUUAAUCCCUAAAAUUCAAAACUUAUAGUUUAGUUUACAAUUCAAUCCUUUAUUCAAUUCCAAAUAAAAUUUCUAUUAAAUAAAUCCUCAAUUCCAUCAUUUAUUCAACAUAAACCCUACUCAAAAAUCUAUUAACUUUCAAAUUUUCAACUUAAAUCCAAGAGUAUUUCAUUCUAGGAUUCCAAAAACAUCAAAUUUAUGAGAAAAGGACUUGAUUUAGUUUACCUAUUAAACUUCAAGCUUCAAAAUCUCAAUUUUCCCCCUUUCUUUUCUUUCCCUUUUCUUCCCCUGUUUUCGUCUCUUUCUCUGUUUCUUUUCUGUUCUUCUUCUCUUUUUCUGUUCUUUUAUUUCAUUUGUUUUCUUUUACUUUUUGUUAUAAUAAUAUAAUAUAUAAUAAUUAGUAUAAAUAUCUUUUACCACACAUGUCAUAUUCAUAACCAUACAUUUGUCUUAAUUUAUUUCACAAUAUAAUAAUAUAGAAUAAUUUAUGCCGCCUCAAAUUUGGCAAUUAGCAUAAUUGCCCAUUUGACCCCUAUUAUUUUCCUUUAAUCUAUAAUUAAACUUUCACUUCUAUUAUAAUUUAAUCCUUUUUACUAAUUACUGUUAAUUAGACUAAAUUCACCUAAUUAAUACCUAAUUAAGCACUAAAUUAAACUCAUGAUUACUUCUAAUAAUUAUUUUCGAACUCAAUUUACUAAGACGGAGGCCCGAUAUUAUACUUUUCCGAUGCCCGUGAAUUUUUGGGUCAUUACAAGAUGGUUGGCACCAUGUAUUUUUUUUCAAAAAAAAUUUUUUUGGGUACUGGCACACUGAUGGCCGGCACCCCUUUAUCUGAUUAAAAAAAUAUUUUUUUGGGGGAAAGUGGUGCCGGCCAACAAAGGGCCAAAAUCACCCAACAAAAAAAAUUGGAAAUAUUUCAACAUAACCCCUCCUUGUUUUCUCAUCUUUUUUAUUUCCCAAAUUUAAUUACAUAUUUUAUAUUUUAAAACAAUAUUGAACUACUUAUCAUAUUUUUUAAUUAUUAUUGCAUCACUCAAAUUAUUAUUAAAUUUAAAAACUAAUUUAAAAUAUAUUGAACUACAUAUUUUAUAAAAUUUAAAAUUUUCAUGAUUGAAUUUUCCAUCUUUUGAAUUUCAUAUUUUUUAAAAAUUUUUGUUUUUAUUUUGUUAAAUGUAACUUGAUUGUUGUUAAACUCAAGUAUAAAUAAUAAAUUAAGCCUAAAAAAAAUAUAUUUAUUUUUAAAAAUAUUUAUUAAUUUUAAUAUUGAAUUUUAUAAUUGUGAAAAUAUAUUAAAAUGCUAAAUACAAUAUCCAAAAUGACAGUAAUUGAUACUAAACUAGUUAAUUUUCAAAUCAAUAAUUUAAAAUUAAUUUAAAUUUAAUAUGCACAAUUAAAUUAUAUGUUUUUUUUAUAAAAUUAGAAUAUGCUUUUAUGAUUUUCAUCCUUUAUAAUAAUUCAAAUAAAUAUUGCUAAAUUAUUUUUUAUUUUAAAAAAUAAUGAGUAAUAUAUUUAUAAAAUAUGUAGUUCAAUAUAUUUUAAAUUAAUUUUUAAAUUUAAUAAUAAUGUGAGUGAUGCAAUACUAAUUAAAAAACAUGAUCAUAUUAUUUUAAAAUAUAAAAUAUGUAAUUAAACUUGGGAAAUAAAAAAGAUGAGAAAACAAGGAGGGGUUAUGUUGCAAUAUUCCCAUUUUUUUUGUUGGGUGAUUUUGGCCCUUUGUUGGCCCACACCACUUUCCCCCAAAAAAUAUUUUUUAAUCAGAUAAAAAGGGUAUCGGCCAUAAGUGUGCUAGCAUCCAAAAAAAAAUUGAAAAAAAAGACAUGGUGCCAGCCAUCUAGUGUCCAAAACCUCAAAAAUUAUUUUUUAAUAGAAAAAAGUGGUGCCGGCCAUCUAUUUCCCAUAACCUAAUUUUACUGUUUAUUUCAAGUCAUUUUGGUGAAUGUUUUUGAAUCAGGGUCAUUUUUAUAAAUAUCAAAUUUUUUUAGGUUAGAUUGGUAAAAUAGCCGUUUUUAUAAUAUCAUCAUUCAUUUUAUUAUUAAAAAUUAAUAAGAUACUUUUAAAAAUUAUGGUUUAUAUAUUUUUUAUAUUAGAAAAUUUUGAUAAUUUAUUUUUUAUUUUACAAACUACUUUAAAAAAUUAAUAUAUAUUUAUUUUUUUAAAUAUUUUAACAACAGUGUAACCAAUAAUUUCAUUACAUUUAAAUAAAAAUAUCUUUUCCCCACCCUUGAAAACUUCAAUCAAGACUUCAUAAAAGACCAGGCCCCCUUGUUAGUUUACAAAAAAAGGGAGCUUCGGAAAUGGAAGUGGAGUCUGUCUUGCUUGCUUUGCUGUUGAUAAAUGCCCUUGCGUUUUCGCAGCUUAAUCUGGCAGUUGAGGCGGCUGAGUCUGUUCCUCUAUCACCAUCGGAUGAUUUCUCGAAAGAGUUGAAAGCUUUGUCUAGGAGGAGUCGGCGAAUAACUCCACCAUCACCCAGGAUUAAUGCUCCUGUUCACUUCAAAAGGCCUCCUCUAUUACCUCGACCUCCUCCGCCGCCACGGUCACCACCACCUCCAUGUCUGUGGCGUCCACCUACUCCGUUUGGAUAAGACGAUUGUUUCCCAGAUUUCACACAAUUGAUGAAGCUCUCAUGUCAUCAGCUUUUGUUUGUAAAUUGUAAAACUUUAAAGUGCUUGUAUGUUAGCAGCAAAUACCAGCUUUGUUUAGCUCUAAUAAUAAUUAAAUUUGUAAUGAUAAAAAUAAUAAUAUGUUAAAUACAAAAAUGAAUAAAUGUAUGCAUCACUUUCACUUAAACACUCGUUAAGAAAUUGUUUAAUAAGUAUCCCUUGUCUUCCCUUCCCAUCUCUUUGAAGUCUCCCGACCAUCUCUAUAUGCAGCAUAAAUGAUGAGCAGCUCCCCAUCAACGAGGACCUGGGUCCUCAAAGGCCAACUAAAAAACAACAAUCUCUACGUCUAUGGAGCCUGGACUGCAGAAACUGAGAAACCUCCAAUUCCAAGCUCCCUGGUUCGGUGCGAAGGGCAUUAAAUACCCAACUACCAUAUUUAUAUUGGCCACUCCACUCUAGAGGUGAUCAUGAACCGGG